UGUUGUGCGCUGAAUUGUACUAACAGGAAGGAUAAAGGCAGUAGAAAGAAGUUUUUUAGAAUCCCUGCGGAACCAGGACGAAGGGCUGCAUGGCUUAGAGCCUUAAAAAGGUCAGAUUUUGAGCAGGGAAAGAAAAACCCGACCGCGGCGUGGACACCACGAGGCCACGAGAGAGUGUGCAGCGACCAUUUCAUCUCAGGGAACCCUUCUAAAGACCCUGCAGAUCCAGAUUACGUCCCAAGCUUGUUUAACCUCCCAACCUCAGCAAGUUGCAAUCGUUCAAGAAACCCAGUUGCCAAGAAAGAUCG
Molecule: long non-coding RNA, 308 nt
Organism: Branchiostoma floridae (Florida lancelet)
Lineage: Eukaryota; Metazoa; Chordata; Leptocardii; Amphioxiformes; Branchiostomatidae
Exons: 2
Source: RefSeq, a predicted model, not a curated record